CGCGCGCCGCCCUGCGCUGAGGGGACGCGGUCCGUCGGGGCUCGGCGCGAGCGGGAAAGGAGGGGGGGGAGAGCAGCAGCAGGAGGACGCUCAAGCAGAGAGUGCGGGUCGUCAUGGCGGGAAGGCGGGGGUCUGCAGGAUGGUGGUCCCUCCCUGACUGGUAAAACCGAACAGGAAAAGCAGACCCCCUAUUAGCGGGACAACAUCAGAGGGAUACCUCCAUGGUCGACAGGCACAGGAAUAAGAAAGGAGACUGCCCAAAUUAGCAUUGGGUUGAAAGGUGAGCUCUUUCCACAGGAAUGCAAAAUAACAGUGUAUCAUCAUGGACUGGAAGUUUAACCAGGAAAUCGGCCUCACGGCAGAGAUGUCAGCAAAGGCCUCCCGGUCCUGCUCAGUCCAUUCCCUGCCCUCUAUGUGGUAGGGAGUGAACUGGGUGAACAACGACACCACGUGGCAGCCAGGUGGAGCCAGAGUAGGGUCCAAAACAGAAGGGAUGGUCAUCUCCAACAUAGGUCUACCAGAAUGCAGGAUCAUGAUGAAAUGGUGGCAAGUGAAAGAUGGGCGUCCAUUCAUGGCCUCUUUGUAUGCAGCCUCCAGGAAUUCUACACUUUCACAGUUGAGAUGAAUGGAGCACUGAUGGUGGGGUCCUGCUUUAUUGUCUGGUGUGGGAGAAGCUAGGAAGUUUGGUAGCUUGUCCACGGCCACUGUAAAAACAGGUAUCGCUUUUAUACAAAUUCAUACUUUUUGGAAAGCUAAAUGUGUACUUAGCUUAGCUUUAAAGAAAAGUAAAAAGUUCCCUGUACUUUGUCAUUUGUAGUAUUUGGAGUGAUCAGUGAUGGAGCUUGAAAAUCCUUGUUAAUGUCAAGUCAUGUCAAGUAACAUGACAGAAACAGAAUGGAGCUACCGUUGAGCUUUGUAACUGGUGAGGUGUAGUCUAUCUGAUCUGUGGCUCUGAUGAACUCUGGGGAAAGGGCAGCCUGCAAAGAAACAGGAAGAUAAGAUAAAAUUGCCCUGUGACUUGGCUACAUGUGAUGUACUGAACAUAGACCCAUCUCACCUGGGGCACAAGGUGCUUGUAUGUGACGUGUGGUGUAGCAUUUGAUAAAACAACUCUACUGUGGAUCUCUGUGCCAUCAUUCAGCACCACUCCUUUAGCCACUCUAUCUGAAUCCACCAGGACUUGUUUUACAUCCUGCCAAGGAUACAUGUGCAGAAUAGUUGGAAUAUGAAUUGUGGAAUAAUAAAAUGCAUCAUAUAAUUUGUGAAAACCACAUCACCUUCUCAGUGAAAAUGUCUACACCAUAGGAUCGAGCUGCUCUGGCAAUAGCCUGAGACACUCCUCCCAUGCCUCCCUCUACAUAACCCCAAGCUCCUUUCUCAUUUUCCAGCUCUCCCAUUACAUGAUGUAGGAGCACAUAACUGUGAGACAAGAAUGUCAGAUCAGUGUUCAGGCAGUUAAAAACCUUGCGAGUGUUUGUGUGCUCUAUAAUGUGUCUUACCCACUGCCAGGGUUAUUUGGACUGGUCAUAGCACCGAUCACAGCAUCAGUUGCCAGUGUUGCUUUGAGUGGUUCAGACUCAAACCACUGAUUGAGGAUCUACAAAAGAAUCAGUCAUUAUGUACUCGGCAUAAAACUGCUAAUGUUAUCAAACCAUGUCUCUGCUAUAACCAACCUUCAUUAUUGGUGCAGUGAUAAUCUCAUAAAAGUCUGGAAUGUUUUUUCCCAAUUUCAAACCUGAAAAACAUUUCAUACACUUUUGGUCCAAAUACAACAACUUAAUGCAAAGUAAAUAAUUUGUUUUGUUUGCUUUCGGACAUUUAGAAUAUUAAAGCACGCGUCCACCAACACACCACAUUUGACAAUAGGCAUCAGUGUUUUAGCUGCAGCCAGUCUCCUCCUCAGUGAGCCAGUGGUAACACCUGGAAUGUUUACAGGAGGAGCAUCCAAGAGAGGGUGAAUAGCUUCUGCUAGCUUCUCAAGGUGUGCAACAUAAGCUGGGAAAGCCUGGGUACACGUCAAAGAACAUAAGGGGGAGUGUGGAUAUGUAGGACUGCAAUAACUUUAUACUGGUGUGGAAAUAAAGAAAAAGUCAGGCAGCGAUGGACUUCAUCAUUGUGUGACAAUGGGCUGCAGUAUAAAAUACAGAGACACACACAAUGCUGUCAAGCAUGCAGGUAUCAUACCUUCUGAAACAAACACACACAAAAAAACUGAAUAACCUUAGCAUCCUUGUGUGAGAACUUGCUUAUCUCCCUCUGGUUCAUGGCCAAAUCAGAGCCCAAGGUGAGAGACCUUGGUGGAGCACCGCGCACCCCUUCCUCCAGCAUGGGGGUGAACGCAUGGGGGUCUCUCAAAUACACCCUCAGCCCAUGUUUCUGAGUGUAAAUGAUAAAACAACAUGAAACAAGGGGUUUCUGUAAACAAGGUACAACAAUGGUAAAUCCCAGGUAGGUAAAGGCAGAGUUUACCUUGAGCUCUAAGUCUUUGUAUAUGUGGGGUCGUAACAAACUGAGCAAAUAGGAACAUCUGGAGAACCGGAAGCCUGGGUACAUGAGGAUUAUUACUUUCACAGGACCAUAGCAUAAAUCACAUACAAUAACCAUUGCACUUUACAGAUACAGCGCCACUGAAUGGUUGUUGCAACAAAGUUGCAGAACACAGUGAUCCUGCUGCUUGUUUGUCAUUUUUCACUCAUCCUACCAGGAAUGAUCUCCUCGGAAACAGCUGCUCCUCCCAGCACAUAUCUGCGCUCCAGCACUGCUGUCUUCAGGCCUCCCUUCUGGAGAUAGGCAGCCUACACACACGCACACACACGCACGCACACACACACUCGGCCUUUACCCUCUUGUUCAUCUAUCACAGAAUAUAUUACCUAUUAUGUAUCAUAUAUUGACAGACUUUACCGCCACCAGUCCAUUGUGUCCUGCAAAUAAGAGUAAAAUCAGUUUUACAUUCGGGCUUUAUUUCAACAUUUUUUAACACAGUUUUAACACAGCUUUUGCUGUUUAACACAGCUUUGCUGUUUAACAAACUGUUGUACAAGCUGCUUUUUAGGAAUUUUCACCGUCAAGUUCAAAGUGUCCGUCAAAUAUCAACGAGAGAAACUCGCUGAGUCUUUGCAAACUGCUGCAAACUUGACUACAUUAUUGCAAGUUGCAGACUUUGGCGCGCAGGCUCCGAGCUCGCUGCUCCUCGUUCUGCGCGUCGUCCAGCGGUUCACGGAUCUCACCUCCGCCGAUGACCAGCGCAUCGUACUGGGAUUUUAAAGCUGUCCCGCUGGAUCCAGAUCUAGACCGGAUCACCGUGUUCACGACAGCCGCGGACCUGCGUCCUCGUCCGGUCCAUACGGCUGCAGCCAUGCCUGGAGCUUGAUGGUGGAACCCCCCCUUUCCUCUUCACGUAACGUAGAUCCGGGUGUUAAAUGCGCUCUCCCAUCAGUGCCACAUGACAACAUUUGAAGUCUUCGCCAAAAUGCAAGUAUGAUGGACACGCGUCUUAGCCAAUAGAGUGGGGAGGACUUGGCUCUGUGGACCAAUCAGACGCCACUUCCUUAUCGCGGCCUGCGGUGGCGCUCGGUGGGCGUUUAUCCGCCUCGGCCUCCGCUGCUUGGCUCAGGCAGGGAAGUGUAGAGGCAGCGAGGGCGCACGGGAGGAGGCGAGGAGCUGUGAAAACAAAACGACCCCAGGGGAAUGUAAAACUUUGGGACUGAAAUCACCCACAAGACGUUGCGCCGGCCUCCCCUAACAUUUAACAUAUUAGCUGGUUUCUCAUGGAAGCAGAUGGAUUUGUAAGGAGGCGUCGGAUGACAGCGGAGAAUGCAGGCAAUGAUCCCGGGGUAGCUGGUGCCUCUGCCGGUGCAGAAGUUCGCUGGAUGCGGGGCAGGUUUUGGGGAGUUUCGAAAAGUAUCGCUGGGAGUCUGACACCUCGGAUCGGAAUCGAGCCUGAACUACAGACGGUUGAUUUGAUUUGCAGUCCACAAGAUGCAGACACUGAUGACUCUGAACCAGACUAUGAGGGGCUGCCUCAGACUGCGGUCAAGUGAGCCGUCGUUCGUUCAUCCGUCGUUCAGCCAGCCGCGCUUCGGAAACGUCUUGCGCCCGUAUUACGCGCUUUACAGCAGAGCACAAAACACGCUCGUCGCGACUUCCUCUUUUCAUAGCGACACGUCUGGUCUGUUCAAAAUAUAGAAAAAUACGAAACAAAAUAUUGCAUGUAUAGAAAAACUGUCGCCUAAUGAAGAUCUGUAUACUUUUACUGUAAAAUUAAGCAUUUAUUAUUAUUUAAAACUACCAUGUCAUACUGUGAAACUUUUAUAAUUAAUAACUUAACUUUGGUGCAUAGUUCCAGGCUCAGACCACUUUCCCCUUGUUCUACUAGAGGUGUACUAUCACCCCACAAAAAUGCAUGUAUUUUUACUGUAUAGUUUUGGAUUUAUUAGUAUUCAAAACUACCAUGUCAUACUGUAACUGUAUAGGCCGUAUAGUCAACUUUAAUCGUUAAUAACUUGACUUUGGUGCAUAGUUCCAUGCCCAGACCACUUUCCCCUUGUUCUACUAGAUGUGUACUAUCACCACACAAAGAUUCAUGUAUUUUUACUGUAUAGUUUAUGAUUUAUUAGUAUUCAAAACUACCAUGUCAUACUGUAAUACAGUCAACUUUGAUCAUUAAUAACUUGACUUUGGUGCAUAGUUCCAGGCUCAGACCACUUUCCUCUUGUUCUACUAGAGGUGUACUAUUACCCCACAAAGAUCUGUAUAUUUUUACUGUAUAGUUUUGGAUUUAUUAGUAUUCAAAACUACCAUGUCAUACUGUAAUACAGUAAACCUUGAUAAUCAAUAACUUGACUUUGGUGCAUAGUUCCAGGCCCAGACCACUUUCCCCUUGUUCUACUAGAUGUGUACUAUCACCCCACAAAGAUUAGUGUAUUUUUACUGUAUAGUUUUGGAUUUAUUAGUACUUGAAAGUACCAUGUCAUACUGUAAUACAGUCAACUUUGAUCAUUAAUAACUUGACCUUGGUGCAUAGUUCCAGGCUCAGACCACUUUCCCCUUGUUCUACUAGAUGUGUACUAUCACCCCACAAAAAUGCAUGUAUUUUUACUGUAUAGUUUUGGAUUUAUUAGUAUUCAAAACUACCAUGUCAUACUGUAAUACAGUCAACUUUAAUCAUUAAUAACUUGACUUUGGUGCAUAGUUCCAGGCUCAGACCACUUUCCUCUUGUUCUACUAGAGGUGUACUAUUACCCCACAAAGAUCUGUAUAUUUUUACUGUAUAGUUUUGGAUUUAUUAGUACUCAAAACUAGCAGUUCAUACUGUAACUGUAUAGGCCGUAUAGUCAACUUUAAUGAUCAAUAACUUUAAUUUGGUGCAUAGUUCCAGGCUCAGACCACUUUCCUCUUGUUCUACUAGAGGUGUACUAUUACCCCACAAAGAUCUGUAUAUUUUUACUGUAUAGUUUUGGAUUUAUUAGUACUCAAAACUAGCAGUUCAUACUGUAACUGUAUAGGCCGUAUAGUCAACUUUAAUGAUCAAUAACUUUAAUUUGGUGCAUAGUUCCAGGCUCAGACCACUUUCCCCUUGUUCUACUAGAGGUGUACUAUCACCACACAAAAAUGCAUGUAUUUUUACUGUAUAGUUUUGGAUUUAUUAGUAUUCAAAACUACCAUGUCAUACUGUAACUGUAUGGGCCGUAUAGUCAACUUUAAUCAUUAAUAACUUGACUUUGGUGCAUAGUUCCAGGCUCAGACCACUUUCCCCUUGUUCUACUAGAUGUGUACUAUCACCACACAAAGAUUCAUGUAUUUUUACUGUAUAGUUUUGGAUUUAUUAGUAUUCAAAACUACAAUGUCAUACUGUAAUAAAGUCAACUUUAAUCAUUAAUAACUUGACUUUGGUGCAUAGUUCCAGGCUCAGACCACUUUCCCCUUGUUCUACUAGAUGUGUACUAUCACCACACAAAGAUUCGUGUAUUUUUACUGUAUAGUUUUGGAUUUAUUAGUACUCAAAACUAGCAGUUCAUACUGUAACUGUAUAGGCCGUAUAGUCAACUUUAAUGAUCAAUAACUUUAAUUUGGUGCAUAGUUCCAGGCUCAGACCACUUUCCCCUUGUUCUACUAGAGGUGUACUAUUACCCCACAAAGAUUAGUGUAUUUUUACUGUAUAGUUUAUGAUUUAUUAGUAUUCAAAACUACAAUGUCAUACUGUAAUAAAGUCAACUUUAAUCAUUAAUAACUUGACUUUGGUGCACAGUUCCAGGCUCAGACCACUUUCCCCUUGUUCUACUAGAUGUGUACUAUCACCACACAAAGAUUCAUGUAUUUUUACUGUAUAGUUUUGGAUUUAUUAGUAUUCAAAACUACCAUGUCAUACUGUAAUACAGUCAACUUUGAUCAUUAAUAACUUGACUUUGGUGCAUAGUUCCAGGCUCAGACCACUUUCCCCUUGUUCUACUAGAUGUGUACUAUCACCACACAAAGAUUCAUGUAUUUUUACUGUAUAGUUUAUGAUUUAUUAGUAUUCAAAACUACCAUGUCAUACUGUAAUACAGUCAACUUUGAUCAUUAAUAACUUGACUUUGGUGCAUAGUUCCAGGCUCAGACCACUUUCCCUUUGUUCUACUAGAUGUGUACUAUCACCACACAAAGAUUCAUGUAUUUUUACUGUAUAGUUUAUGAUUUAUUAGUACUUGAAAGUACCAUGUCAUACUGUAAUAAAGUCAACUUUAAUCAUUAAUAACUUGACUUUGGUGCAUAGUUCCAGGCUCAGACCACUUUCCCCUUGUUCUACUAGAUGUGUACUAUCACCCCACAAAAAUGCAUGUAUUUUUACUGUAUAGUUUUGGAUUUAUUAGUAUUCAAAACUACCAUGUCAUACUGUAAUACAGUCAACUUUAAUCAUUAAUAACUUGACUUUGGUGCAUAGUUCCAGGCUCAGACCACUUUCCUCUUGUUCUACUAGAGGUGUACUAUUACCCCACAAAGAUCUGUAUAUUUUUACUGUAUAGUUUUGGAUUUAUUAGUAUUCAAAACUACCAUGUCAUACUGUAACUGUAUGGGCCGUAUAGUCAACUUUAAUCAUUAAUAACUUGACUUUGGUGCAUAGUUCCAGGCUCAGACCACUUUCCCCUUGUUCUACUAGAUGUGUACUAUCACCACACAAAGAUUCAUGUAUUUUUACUGUAUAGUUUAUGAUUUAUUAGUACUUGAAAGUACCAUGUCAUACUGUAAUACAGUCAACUUUGAUAAUCAAUAACUUGACUUUGGUGCAUAGUUCCAGGCUCAGACCACUUUCCCUUUGUUCUACUAGAUGUGUACUAUCACCACACAAAGAUUCGUGUAUUUUUACUGUAUAGUUUUGGAUUUAUUAGUACUUGAAAGUACCAUGUCAUACUGUAAUAAAGUCAACUUUAAUCAUUAAUAACUUGACUUUGGUGCAUAGUUCCAGGCCCAGACCACUUUCCCUUUGUUCUACUAGAUGUGUACUAUCACCCCACAAAAAUGCAUGUAUUUUUACUGUAUAGUUUUGGAUUUAUUAGUAUUCAAAACUAGCAGUUCAUACUGUAACUGUAUAGGCCGUAUAGUCAACUUUAAUCGUUAAUAACUUGACUUUGGUGCAUAGUUCCAGGCUCAGACCACUUUCCUCUUGUUCUACUAGAGGUGUACUAUUACCCCACAAAGAUCUGUAUAUUUUUACUGUAUAGUUUUGGAUUUAUUAGUACUCAAAACUAGCAGUUCAUACUGUAACUGUAUAGGCCGUAUAGUCAACUUUAAUGAUCAAUAACUUUAAUUUGGUGCAUAGUUCCAGGCUCAGACCACUUUCCCCUUGUUCUACUAGAUGUGUACUAUCACCACACAAAGAUUCGUGUAUUUUUACUGUAUAGUUUUGGAUUUAUUAGUAUUCAAAACUACCAUGUCAUACUGUAACUGUAUGGGCCGUAUAGUCAACUUUAAUCAUUAAUAACUUGACUUUGGUGCAUAGUUCCAGGCUCAGACCACUUUCCCCUUGUUCUACUAGAUGUGUACUAUCACCCCACAAAAAUGCAUGUAUUUUUACUGUAUAGUUUUGGAUUUAUUAGUAUUCAAAACUACCAUGUCAUACUGUAAUACAGUCAACUUUAAUCAUUAAUAACUUGACUUUGGUGCAUAGUUCCAGGCUCAGACCACUUUCCUCUUGUUCUACUAGAGGUGUACUAUUACCCCACAAAGAUCUGUAUAUUUUUACUGUAUAGUUUUGGAUUUAUUAGUACUCAAAACUAGCAGUUCAUACUGUAACUGUAUAGGCCGUAUAGUCAACUUUAAUGAUCAAUAACUUUAAUUUGGUGCAUAGUUCCAGGCUCAGACCACUUUCCCCUUGUUCUACUAGAGGUGUACUAUUACCCCACAAAGAUUCGUGUAUUUUUACUGUAUAGUUUAUGAUUUAUUAGUAUUCAAAACUACAAUGUCAUACUGUAAUAAAGUCAACUUUAAUCAUUAAUAACUUGACUUUGGUGCACAGUUCCAGGCUCAGACCACUUUCCCCUUGUUCUACUAGAUGUGUACUAUCACCCCACAAAAAUGCAUGUAUUUUUACUGUAUAGUUUUGGAUUUAUUAGUAUUCAAAACUACAAUGUCAUACUGUAAUAAAGUCAACUUUAAUCAUUAAUAACUUGACUUUGGUGCAUAGUUCCAGGCUCAGACCACUUUCCCCUUGUUCUACUAGAUGUGUACUAUCACCACACAAAGAUUCGUGUAUUUUUACUGUAUAGUUUUGGAUUUAUUAGUAUUCAAAACUACCAUGUCAUACUGUAACUGUAUGGGCCGUAUAGUCAACUUUAAUCAUUAAUAACUUGACUUUGGUGCAUAGUUCCAGGCUCAGACCACUUUCCCCUUGUUCUACUAGAUGUGUACUAUCACCCCACAAAAAUGCAUGUAUUUUUACUGUAUAGUUUUGGAUUUAUUAGUAUUCAAAACUACCAUGUCAUACUGUAAUACAGUCAACUUUAAUCAUUAAUAACUUGACUUUGGUGCAUAGUUCCAGGCUCAGACCACUUUCCUCUUGUUCUACUAGAGGUGUACUAUUACCCCACAAAGAUCUGUAUAUUUUUACUGUAUAGUUUUGGAUUUAUUAGUACUCAAAACUAGCAGUUCAUACUGUAACUGUAUAGGCCGUAUAGUCAACUUUAAUGAUCAAUAACUUUAAUUUGGUGCAUAGUUCCAGGCUCAGACCACUUUCCCCUUGUUCUACUAGAGGUGUACUAUUACCCCACAAAGAUUCGUGUAUUUUUACUGUAUAGUUUAUGAUUUAUUAGUAUUCAAAACUACAAUGUCAUACUGUAAUAAAGUCAACUUUAAUCAUUAAUAACUUGACUUUGGUGCACAGUUCCAGGCUCAGACCACUUUCCCCUUGUUCUACUAGAUGUGUACUAUCACCCCACAAAAAUGCAUGUAUUUUUACUGUAUAGUUUUGGAUUUAUUAGUAUUCAAAACUACAAUGUCAUACUGUAAUAAAGUCAACUUUAAUCAUUAAUAACUUGACUUUGGUGCAUAGUUCCAGGCUCAGACCACUUUCCUCUUGUUCUACUAGAGGUGUACUAUUACCCCACAAAGAUCUGUAUAUUUUUACUGUAUAGUUUUGGAUUUAUUAGUAUUCAAAACUACCAUGUCAUACUGUAACUGUAUGGGCCGUAUAGUCAACUUUAAUCAUUAAUAACUUUAAUUUGGUGCAUAGUUCCAGGCUCAGACCACUUUCCCCUUGUUCUACUAGAUGUGUACUAUCACCCCACAAAAAUGCAUGUAUUUUUACUGUAUAGUUUAUGAUUUAUUAGUAUUCAAAACUACCAUGUCAUACUGUAAUACAGUCAACUUUAAUCAUUAAUAACUUGACUUUGGUGCAUAGUUCCAGGCUCAGACCACUUUCCUCUUGUUCUACUAGAGGUGUACUAUCACCACACAAAGAUUCAUGUAUUUUUACUGUAUAGUUUUGGAUUUAUUAGUAUUCAAAACUAGCAGUUCAUACUGUAACUGUAUAGGCCGUAUAGUCAACUUUAAUGAUCAAUAACUUUAAUUUGGUGCAUAGUUCCAGGCUCAGACCACUUUCCCCUUGUUCUACUAGAUGUGUACUAUCACCACACAAAGAUUCAUGUAUUUUUACUGUAUAGUUUAUGAUUUAUUAGUACUUGAAAGUACCAUGUCAUACUGUAAUACAGUAAACUUUGAUCAUUAAUAACUUGACUUUGGUGCAUAGUUCCAGGCCCAGACCACUUUCCCCUUGUUCUACUAGAUGUGUACUAUCACCACACAAAGAUUCGUGUAUUUUUACUGUAUAGUUUUGGAUUUAUUAGUACUUGAAAGUACCAUGUCAUACUGUAAUACAGUCAACUUUGAUAAUCAAUAACUUGACUUUGGUGCAUAGUUCCAGGCUCAGACCACUUUCCUCUUGUUCUACUAGACGUGUCAUGUUUUUAUAUAAAGAACAGUAAGUAAGGCUAGGCAGGAAUAUAGACAUUCAACCCCUUUAUUAACAUCUGUUGGACUCAAAAGGGAAAGUGUGACAUUUUUCUCCAGCAACAACAAAAGUUAUUGAUCAUGUUCAGUGUCACACACACACACACACACACACACACACACACACACACACACACACACACACACACACACACACACACACACACACACAUACACAAGUCAAGGGAACACAGUCAAAAGCUGAACAUUUGUGUGGAACACAAAUACAACUUUAUGUAAAAAUGAGAAAUGCGGUGAGACAGGUAGAAUAAUUCCUGUUACUUUUUCAUGGCUAAUGAAUUAUUUACAAAGACAGCAAUUCCAGUCUUCACUUGCUGCCUUUUUAAGGGUGUCUUUAUCUAAGUUUAGGCACUGUGCGUGAUACCACCGGCAACAGCCAUCACACUGUAUCUGUAAAAGGGUACAUGAAUGACCAUUGUAUAGCAUUAAAAUGAAAUCGUUUUUUGUUCUCAUCAAACGCAUUACUAUUUCUAUGUUUGUUUUAUCAGUUAUUGCCCCCUCUGUUCCAAUUCUUGCACAUUGUAAUAUUUAAACAUUACAGAAAACAUAAUCAUAACAAGCCUCCGUUGCUGAAAACAAAAACAGUACUUUACCCAGUCUGUAAAGGCUGGUCCUGAUCCUGGUGGCUUUGUGGUUGAGCACAUAGCACAGUUACUGUCUGUGUUGAACACUAAAAUGUUAAAACAAAUUGUAUAUAUUAAGAUAUUCAUUAAUAGAUUUAAUGCAAUAUUGUAUUUUUACAAUACAGACUGAUAACAAUACAAAGGCAAUGUUACACACCAGAAGCGUGUAAUAUUUCACACGCUAUGUUUGUGCGUUCUUGUGCCAUUUGUUUUCUUGUCGUUUUGAAGUCCAUUCUUGGCAUAUUUGGGAAGGCCUCCAUCACUAACCUGGCCAUCUAAAUAACAUAAUUUAGACACAAGUUUUAAUUUUUAUGAGUGACACUACUUGUAGGAAAUCAUGCAUUGACUAAACCAUUUUUUGCUUACCAUAAUCACAAUGACCCCACAGCUACUGCUAUCUUUCUGAACUGGGUGAUGCAUAAUGGCCCCCUUCCAUUUUUUAUCCACCCAGUCAGUUUUGCUGUGGCAGGCCCGUCUCAUGUUGAAAUAGUCACUGCAAUAGUAGCAAUUUUUAAAUAUUAUUAUUAUUAUUAUUAGCAGUAGUGGUAGUGGUAGUAGUAGUAGUAGUAGUAGUAGUAGUAGGGGAGUAAUUACUUUAAUGCUGUCAAAAUCUAUAACACACUUUACACAUAUCAGAAAACAUUAUAUCUAUAUGUAACAAAACCAAAUGAAUCCAUGAAUGAAGACAACCCAUAGAAGUGCACAAGAAGCUAUUGAAUGAAUUGGUCUUAAUUUACCUACACUAGUUAUGUUGAAACGUUUGGCAAAAAUCUGAAUGUUUUUACUGAUUGUAAGUCAAUGACCUACAGACAAUUCCUUUAUGACUCUUAUCUCUAGAUUAUGUACCGCAGUCUUUUCGCUGCUUGCUCCGACUCUACCAGUUCUUUGGCACUUUUUGCAGGAUCCACAAGAUAGACCUUACUUCGGUCUGAAUCAACGUAC
Molecule: long non-coding RNA, 12068 nt
Organism: Betta splendens (Siamese fighting fish)
Lineage: Eukaryota; Metazoa; Chordata; Actinopteri; Anabantiformes; Osphronemidae
Exons: 6
Source: RefSeq, a predicted model, not a curated record